UAGGUGGUUGAUGGUGGGAGUAGUGAUAUGGUUGUGUGAAAGAUUAAGGGAUGGAUGUGUGAGUAGAAGGGGGAAUAAGGUGAAAGGGGGAAUGGGUGAUUAAAUGAGUUAUGGUUGGUUGGAUGUUAGGGAGAGUUAGAUGGAUAAGUGUGGUAAUUGUAGAGGUAAUAGAUGAAGGUGGUGGGGGGAGGAGUGAUGGAAGGGUGGGUUUUAUUAGAAGAAAAGGAAUGGGUGGGGUGGUGGGUGGGUUGGGUUGGUGAGUGUGAAUAAGUUUGGGGUGAUGGGAGGGUGGGAGGAGGGGGGAGGGAUGUUUGAAAUGUGUGGGUUAUGAAGUUUGGAUGGUAGGUUGUGGGGGUAGGAUGGUUGUAAGGGGUGAGGGGGAAUGAGGGUUGGAUUGGGGAGAGGGAGGGUGAGAAAGGGGUAGGAGAUGGAAGGAAGGGAGGAGGGGGGGAAAUUAGGGAGUGGGGGGAGGGGGAGGUAGUGAGGAAAAAUAAGGAUACGGGAGUGAUGGGAGGGGGGGUAAUGGGAAUGAGAAGAGUUUAAUGGUUUAAGGAGGAUGUAUUGGAGGGGAAGUGUGGUGGGAGGAGGGGGGGUAAUUGGAGGUGGAAUAGGGUAUAUUAAAGUUGUUGGGGUUAAAAAGGUGGUAGUGGGAGGUGUGUGUGGGAGGGUGGGUUGGGUGGUUGUGGGUGUUGAAGUGGGGGGUGGGGAGGUGGUGGGGGUGGGGGUGUAAAAGGGUGGGUUAUGGUUGUUUGGUGGUGUUGAUUGAGUGGGUUGGUGGGGGGGGAGGUUUAGUUUGAAGAAAUUAGAGUGGUGAAAGGAGGGGGUUGGUGGGGUGAAUAGUGUGUGGAUGGAAUAAUGGAAUAGGAGGUGGGUUGGAUUUUGUUGGUUUUGAGAAGUGGAGGUAAUGAUUAAUAGGGAGGGAGGGGGGGAUUGGUAUUGGGAGGUUAGAGGUGAAAUUGUUGGAUGGUGGGAAGAGGAAGGGAUGGGAAAGGAUUUGGCAAGAAGGUUUUGGUUGAUGAAGAAGGAAAGUUAGAGGUUGGAAGGGGAUGAGAUAGGGGGGUAGUUGUAAGGAUAAAGGAUGGGAGGUAGGGAUGGGGGGAAGUUGGUUAUAUGAGUGGGGGGGGAGGUUGGGGGAAAGGAAAGGUGUUGGGUUGGGGGGGAAGUAUGGUUGGAAAGGUGAAAGUUAAAGGAAUUGAGGGAAGGGGAGGAGGAGGAGUGGAGGGUGGGGGUUAAUUUGAGUGAAGAGGGGAAAGGUGAGGAGGGGGAGAGAGGGGUAGGAUGAGAGAAUAAGAGGUGUUUGUUGAUUGGGUGGGUGGUGGUGGAUGGGGGUUGUUAGUUGGUGGAGGGAUUUGUGUGGUUAAUUGGGAUAAGGAAGGAGAGUGUGGGGUGGUAAGUAGGGGUUGGAAUGUAUUAU
This 1414-nucleotide ribosomal RNA is filed under the name Tachopteryx thoreyi. Its description in RNAcentral is "partial 18S ribosomal RNA". Lineage: Eukaryota; Metazoa; Arthropoda; Insecta; Odonata; Petaluridae. The record is from RNAcentral.